UGUAUGUACAUGUGUAUGAAUCAUUUGUUUUCACAUUUAAUAUGAAAUCAUGUAUAGGUGCGUAGUUGUUGUUUUUUAUGUUAGCGUAUUGUUUUAGUUUUUGAACAAUUUUCAGCAACAAUAGGAUACUAGAAACAAUAUGAAUGGACGAAUUUAACGCAACCCAGCAUACACACGAAAAACCAUGGAUCAGAUUAUCAAAAACGCAAUUUUCUACUUCCUGUCAACGACAUUUGUAGCCUUGUACGCAUCUUCAUUCAUCUGUUUAAUCAUUCAUCUCCGAAUUUGAAAAUUUGGAAGAAAACAAAGGCAAAAAUAAUGCAAUAAAUGCAAUACUGUCAGAAGGCAAUACACGCAUCGGUGAAGAUCUCUUUAAAAUAGAUUCACGAUAACACCAACAAAACUUGCACCAACUUAUUCCAUUUUGGUGCCAACGAUUCGGCAUAAAAUUAUAGCCCACAAAAUAACACAAAGAACACACACGAAAAACCAUGGAUACGAAUAUCAAAAAUGUAAUUUUAUUCAUCCUGGCGAUGAUAUUUUUAGCUUUGUACACAUCCUCAUUCAUCUGUCUAGUCAUUCAUCUCUGUAAGUUUUUCCAAACUAAGACACCGCAAACCUUGGCAACGAAAAAUCUAACUUUAUAUUGUUUCUUCUUACUCCUGAUCUACGUCUACGCGUUGAUAUUUUUUCCAAGUUAUUACAUAUUCGAUUUCAUGACCAAUUUUCCCAUAAAUUUCUUCUACGCAUAUUUAACAUUUAAUGCUACUUUCGUCAAAUUGAUUAUUGCUCUAGAUAUAUGUUUGUGUUUUCGAAAAACUGCUUUAUAUUUUCACAGACCCACAGGGUCACAGGGCAAGAAAUUUUUAAUUUAUUUUCUCAUCGAUAUAAGUUUACCUUUGUUGUAUACAAUUUUAUUGAAGUUUUUCUGUUUGGAACAAAUAACUUUUAAUGAACUACACGAAUACCUUUUAGAGGCUACUCAGUACAUUCGCACUAUACGUUUGAUUCCAAUAUUUGGAGCAUUAUGGUAUAUCAGACAGGCAAGCAUCGAUAAAACCGAACUGAAGACGAAGUAUUCUUUGCAUAUGCGUCUUUUGAUCAUGCUUGGCGGAUUUUCCACUCUGCUGACAUUUAUACAGUUAUUUUUCAGUCAAUAUAUCGCUGGACAACGUUGGUAUGACGGUUGGGAAAUUAUAUAUUUCUUGGGUACUGUUCUGGAAGGGGUCGUUAUUGGAGCAUGUUUCACGUUUAAGAAAGAUUCGUUUCAAUCUUCGUCUAAAGCUAUUGCCACCGCCCCUGCUUUCAUCCCCAUUGCUACCAGUUGUUAGGACAAAAUUUUGAAGAUCUUACGUUCUCUCAAAAGACUAAGUAAUAAUCUAUACAAUUACAUAAUUAAUGUAGAUACGUCACAAGAGUUUUUCAAUUUUCAAAAAAUAGGAGAGGGAAUAUCAAUAUUGUAGUCGUUGGACGAGUCGAAUCAAUAAAAAAAAUAGGGCAAUACUCGCAUGACAUAGAAUGACCUUUUUUUGAAUUAAUUUUGAAACGAUUUUUAAGGGGACAUUGAGUAAUUUGAUUUCUACACGAUUUUCGCCCAACUUCGAAUGUCAUUUUCCCAAAGAGCAUUAACAAAAAUACCUUGAAAGUAAUUCGUCAAUAUCUCUAAAGCUCGAGACAAGCGCAAUUUUUAAUUUCAUCAAGUAUUAAAUUUUCCAGACAGCGUCACGCCAUCAGAACCAAGUUCAGAACCUAAUAAAAAAAACAUUCCCAAAGCAAUUUAAUCGAGUGCUCGUUCUGUAUUUACCAGAAUGACAUUUUUUUCGAUACUUUACAAUGCUUAUAAAAACAAACAAAACAUUCGAUGUAAAUUAAUGCAGUUCUAAAAAGCGCACACCUCUUCAAUUAAGGCUCAAUCAUGCUAAUUACAUACGAAAAGGUCUCUCCAACAGCUAAAAGUCAAUAAAGUCAAUUACAGGAGAGACCGCUUAUAAUUAAGUAGAAAUACAAACAGUUUUAAUGAUAAUUUAGAAUAGACGUUUUCAUUAUUUGUUUUAACACAUUCGUAACAUUAUCUCAAGUUUUAUAGUCUUUUUGUCAUACUUAGAUAUCUAUCAUUUUGGUUUUUGUAAAAUUUCAAAAAAAAAAAAAAAUCAACAACCGAUGUGAAAUUUUAAUGCAUGACUUUUAUACACAGUGAGUAUAUAUUUUGAAAGAUUUAUUGGAGUAUAAAUGGCCAUUAAUACCUAAGUAGGUACGUAUUAUUUGUAGCUCGAUCAUAUUAUUAAAUAAUGUUUUUCGAUAAAAAAUAAAAAAAGUUCACUUUA
Molecule: long non-coding RNA, 2324 nt
Organism: Planococcus citri (citrus mealybug)
Lineage: Eukaryota; Metazoa; Arthropoda; Insecta; Hemiptera; Pseudococcidae
Exons: 4
Source: RefSeq, a predicted model, not a curated record